This 675-nucleotide long non-coding RNA is filed under the name Androctonus crassicauda. The record is from RNAcentral. Lineage: Eukaryota; Metazoa; Arthropoda; Arachnida; Scorpiones; Buthidae.
CUAAUAGUAAGUAAUAUAUCAUAAGCAUUAUAAAAAUUUACAUAUAAGCAAUAUAUCAUGAGACAACCAAUAUGAAUAAGUCAUAUAUAACCAAUCUGAAAUUGUUUAUCUAAUCUAAACAAAAGAAUUAAAUGCAGUAGAUUCCUGACUUACACAAUUUCUGCCCCUCCAUAAUUCCAACUCCAUGUCCUUGUUGUAAAGGGGCAACAGGGAUAAGGAUUGCAGUUUUGAGUUCCAUUUGGCUAAAGGAGAAGGAAUUCAAAACCAAAGUGUGAGAUAUAAUGUUGCUUGUUGAGUGGUACUGGGGUAUGAAAGAUGUAGUAUCAUGAAUGAUUCUUUCAAGGUAUCAGGGAAAAUCUCAUUGUAUUUAGAUUCCACCUGUAUUGGAGGAUAAUCAAGUGAUGACUAUUUCCUUCCUUCAGUUUUUUUAGACUUGUAUGGUUCUUAAAAAAAUCUCUGGAUGGUAACUCUGAGUGAUUCAUCUUUUUGGGUUAAAAAGGAAAACAAUCUUAUCAGAAACUUUCAGCUACUGGGACACAUUUCUCGAUUACUUCUUUCUAGGUCAUCUAGUAACUAUCAUCCUAAGACUAUAUCUGAGUGCUUCAGACAGCUCUCAAUACAGUUUCCAAAUGAUGUGAUAAUUACAAUCUUUGCUGGAUUAACCUUGUUUCUUUU